AUCCUUUUGUAGUUCAUAAGCAUGAUGAUUGGGUGUUCACGCUUUUGUGUGACAUGUGCCGCCCUUUAAACCUUGUUACGACCUUGGCACAUUACCCGUCUGACG
Neogale vison (American mink) is the source of this 105-nucleotide small nucleolar RNA. RefSeq annotates it as small nucleolar RNA U13. Lineage: Eukaryota; Metazoa; Chordata; Mammalia; Carnivora; Mustelidae. The record is from RefSeq and is a predicted model, not a curated record. The transcript has a single exon.